Molecule: long non-coding RNA, 336 nt
Filed under: Homo sapiens (human)
Lineage: Eukaryota; Metazoa; Chordata; Mammalia; Primates; Hominidae
Description: non-protein coding lnc-SP3-2:1
Source: RNAcentral
AGCAAGGCAAAUAGUCAAGACGGAGAUGAACUUCUUUGGCAGUUAACUUUGGGGACUCCCAGAAGAUAAAAUAAUAAGAAAAAAAGCUGAAAUCCUGCCAUUUGACCAGUGAACGUUCCUGAUCUAGUGGACUUAGAAACCUUCCCGAGGGACCUGAUGCAAAUUUGCACCAAAGCAGCAGCUGCAUUUCCACAGUUCUAGCUUCACCUUCACAAUGUUUCCCUUGCUCAAAAAGGCACUAAGUCAUCUCCAAGUUUGAAGCACCCAGCGAACAACAGCAAGGCAGAGCCACCAGAAGCAUACACCUGAUUUUCAUGACAAACACGGUAACGCUGU